GACGAACGCUGGCGGCGUGCCUAAUACAUGCAAGUAGAACGCUGAAGGAGGAGCUUGCUCUUCUGGAUGAGUUGCGAACGGGUGAGUAACGCGUAGGUAACCUGCCUGGUAGCGGGGGAUAACUAUUGGAAACGAUAGCUAAUACCGCAUAAGAGUAGAUGUUGCAUGACAUUUGCUUAAAAGGUGCAAUUGCAUCACUACCAGAUGGACCUGCGUUGUAUUAGCUAGUUGGUGGGGUAACGGCUCACCAAGGCGACGAUACAUAGCCGACCUGAGAGGGUGAGCGGCCACACUGGGACUGAGACACGGCCCAGACUCCUACGGGAGGCAGCAGUAGGGAAUCUUCGGCAAUGGACGGAAGUCUGACCGAGCAACGCCGCGUGAGUGAAGAAGGUUUUCGGAUCGUAAAGCUCUGUUGUAAGAGAAGAACGAGUGUGAGAGUGGAAAGUUCACACUGUGACGGUAUCUGACCAGAAAGGGACGGCUAACUACGUG
Molecule: ribosomal RNA, 495 nt
Filed under: uncultured bacterium
Lineage: Bacteria
Description: partial 16S ribosomal RNA
Rfam family: Bacterial small subunit ribosomal RNA
Source: RNAcentral